RNAcentral lists this transfer RNA (87 nucleotides) under Bacteroidaceae bacterium. RNAcentral's name for it is "tRNA-Asn". It matches the Rfam family "tRNA". From Rfam's summary of the family: Transfer RNA (tRNA) molecules are approximately 80 nucleotides in length. Their secondary structure includes four short double-helical elements and three loops (D, anti-codon, and T loops). The record is from RNAcentral. Lineage: Bacteria; Pseudomonadati; Bacteroidota; Bacteroidia; Bacteroidales; Bacteroidaceae.
GUUUGGAUAGUCAAGAGGUCGAAGACAACAGACUGUUAAUCUGUCGUGGCAUUGUCCCCAUCGUAGGUCCGAAUCCUACUCCAAACG